GAAAUUUGUGCUGAAAGCCUAGCCCUAUGCACAGAUCUGAAACUCAAGAAGCAACUUGAUAAACAGAAUCUAAGUGGCAAAAAGGAAUUAGGAGAUUUUUGCCAACAAUUUGGCUAUCAUAUGGACCAAGGUCAUAUAGAUAAAACCAAACCGCAUAAAAUCCAUAAAGUAUAUAAAAAGAAAAAACAUCGAAAUAAACCAGAUAAAACCUAUAAGUCUUU
RNAcentral lists this long non-coding RNA (221 nucleotides) under Amborella trichopoda. Its description in RNAcentral is "long non-coding RNA (ATRI_LNC003045)". The record is from RNAcentral. Lineage: Eukaryota; Viridiplantae; Streptophyta; Magnoliopsida; Amborellales; Amborellaceae.